CAACAUCUCUUUUCCUCCCCCAUAUCCUCCUCCGUCCUCGUCUCCCGCGACAUGUCCACUUCAUCUUCAUCAUCUCUCCCCGUCCCGGCGGACUGGUUGCUACCCCUGAUGGCAUGUCCACUCUGCGGCCACGAGUUAGUGACAGCCGUCGCAAGGAGUGGAACAACGUUGGGCACCGAUUCUACAAGUGCAUCCGCUACGAUUCAAGGCAGUGCCGUUUCUUCGAGUUCCAGCGUGCGUACAACAUGAGGAUGACUCAUGAGCAGAUCCUGGCUGUGCAGCACCAGGCCGGAUGGCACCCACCCGGGUUUGGAUUCGCGCCCUAGCAGGGAAAUGGUCCUUCUCAGAUGGUUCGUGCUGCCAUCCAACCCCAGAUCCAGGCGCAGUUGCAGCCGCAGAUGCAGCCUCAGAUCCAGUCUCCGAUGCAGCAGCUUCCCCCGGCGGGCAACAAUAUGAUAGCUGACGCCGGAGUCGGAGCAGCAUAUGGAGCACAAGGCCUAGGUGCAGUCGCUGUUCUUAUGGCUGCAGUGAACAUCAUGCUAACUGUUGUCCUGUUGAUGGUUGUGUUAGCUAAGUAAUCUCCGUAGGUAUUCUAGGGCACUCCUUUAUUAAUAGCGCUAUGCAAGUUCUAACUAUUUUAGUGUAACCAAUGGUGGCUCCCUUUACCGCUCAGCCUAUUUGAGACGACGACCCAGGUUUUGAGCUGUUGUGCUAUUCGACAACCAACUAUGUAAUGCUUUAUCAGACCUUCAUUAAGCUCCCGUUUUUUAUUAUUUUGCUGGGUUCAGAUUGUAUGAAUUUUUACAUCUCCCCCUAUGCAACGGGGUUAGUUGAGCUAACUCUCUCA
Long non-coding RNA from Aegilops tauschii subsp. strangulata, 847 nucleotides. RefSeq lists it as uncharacterized. The record is from RefSeq and is a predicted model, not a curated record. NCBI's taxonomy places the organism in Eukaryota, Viridiplantae, Streptophyta, Magnoliopsida, Poales, Poaceae.